Molecule: non-coding RNA, 73 nt
Organism: Hemiscyllium ocellatum (epaulette shark)
Lineage: Eukaryota; Metazoa; Chordata; Chondrichthyes; Orectolobiformes; Hemiscylliidae
Source: the annotation of a RefSeq genome assembly
GUCAGGAUGGCCGAGUGGUCUAAGGUGCCAGACUUAAGUUCUAGGGGCGUGGGUUCAAAUCCCACUCCUGACA